GAGAAAGUCAUAGAGGUUAUGGGAUUGGCUUGAAACCAGUUUGUGGGGAUUCAAUUCCUUCCUUUCUCG
This 69-nucleotide transfer RNA is filed under the name Pan paniscus (pygmy chimpanzee). It matches the Rfam family "tRNA". From Rfam's summary of the family: Transfer RNA (tRNA) molecules are approximately 80 nucleotides in length. Lineage: Eukaryota; Metazoa; Chordata; Mammalia; Primates; Hominidae. RNAcentral also lists the same sequence under 1 other name. The record is from Rfam by way of RNAcentral.